GGAUCAGACCAAAGGUAGGAAACUUUUUAUUCUUGCAACCUUUCAUUUUAGGAGGCAGACAACAUUUCCCUGAUUUUUUACACUGCUGACUCUGUCUCUUUUCUUAUAGUUUUGGACAACGGCAGAAGGCCUCUGAAAAGCAGCUGCCAGGAACCACAAGUGGGGAGAGUUGCUGUUGGCAUUCCUGCUUGGAGGAUUCCCGGAGGCAUUUGGUUGCUCACUGUGAGAACAAGAUCCUGGACUAGGUGGGUCUCCUUUGGCCUGACCCACCAGGGCUCUACUCGCACAUACGUUAUCGACAGCU
Non-coding RNA from Podarcis lilfordi (Lilford's wall lizard), 304 nucleotides. The record is from the annotation of a GenBank genome assembly. NCBI's taxonomy places the organism in Eukaryota, Metazoa, Chordata, Lepidosauria, Squamata, Lacertidae.